Molecule: ribosomal RNA, 484 nt
Filed under: uncultured bacterium
Lineage: Bacteria
Description: partial 16S ribosomal RNA
Rfam family: Bacterial small subunit ribosomal RNA
Source: RNAcentral
UGAACGCUGGCGGCAUGCCUUCCACAUGCAAGUCGAACGGCAGCACGGGUGCUUGCACCUGGUGGCGAGUGGCGAACGGGUGAGUAAUACAUCGGAACAUGUCCUGUAGUGGGGGAUAGCCCGGCGAAAGCCGGAUUAAUACCGCAUACGAUCUACGGAUGAAAGCGGGGGACCUUCGGGCCUCGCGCUAUAGGGUUGGCCGAUGGCUGAUUAGCUAGUUGGUGGGGUAAAGGCCUACCAAGGCGACGAUCAGUAGCUGGUCUGAGAGGACGACCAGCCACACUGGGACUGAGACACGGCCCAGACUCCUACGGGAGGCAGCAGUGGGGAAUUUUGGACAAUGGGCGAAAGCCUGAUCCAGCAAUGCCGCGUGUGUGAAGAAGGCCUUCGGGUUGUAAAGCACUUUUGUCCGGAAAGAAAUCCUUGGCCCUAAUACGGUCGGGGGAUGACGGUACCGGAAGAAUAAGCACCGGCUAACUACGUG